Molecule: ribosomal RNA, 520 nt
Filed under: uncultured Glomus
Lineage: Eukaryota; Fungi; Glomeromycota; Glomeromycetes; Glomerales; Glomeraceae
Description: SSU rRNA
Rfam family: Eukaryotic small subunit ribosomal RNA
Source: RNAcentral
AGCAGCCGCGGUAAUUCCAGCUCCAAUAGCGUAUAUUAAAGUUGUUGCAGUUAAAAAGCUCGUAGUUGAAUUUCGGGGUUAGUAGGUUGGUCAUGCCUCUGGUAUGUACUGGUCUCACUGAUUCCUCCUUCCUGAUGAACCUUAAUGCCAUUAAUUUGGGUGUUUUUGGGGGAAUUUGGACUNUUACUUUGAAAAAAAUUAGAGUGUUUAAGCAAGCUAACGCUUGAAUACAUUAGCAUGGAAUAAUGAAAUAGGACGUUCGANCCUAUCUUGUUGGUUUCUAGGAUUGACGUAAUGAUUAAUAGGGAUAGUUGGGGGCAUUAGUAUUCAAUUGUCAGAGGUGAAAUUCUUGGAUUUAUUGAAGACUAACUACUGCGAAAGCAUUUGCCAAGGAUGUUUUCAUUAAUCAAGAACGAAAGUUAGGGGGAUCNAAGACGAUCAGAUACCGUCGUAGUCUUAGCCAUAAACUAUGCCGACUAGGGAUCGGAUGAUGUUAAUUUUUUAAUGACUCAUUCGGCGC